This 231-nucleotide ribosomal RNA is filed under the name uncultured bacterium. RNAcentral describes it as "partial 16S ribosomal RNA". It matches the Rfam family "Bacterial small subunit ribosomal RNA", at positions 103 to 334 of the family's 1533-position model. The record is from RNAcentral.
CGGGUGAGUAACGCGUGGGUAACCUGCCUUGUACUGGGGGACAACAGUUGGAAACGACUGCUAAUACCGCAUAAGCGCACAGCUUCGCAUGAAGCAGUGCGAAAAACUCCGGUGGUACAAGAUGGACCCGCGUCUGAUUAGCUGGUUGGUGAGGUAACGGCCCACCAAGGCGACGAUCAGUAGCCGGCCUGAGAGGGUGAACGGCCACAUUGGGACUGAGACACGGCCCAA